CCUGGCUCAGAUUGACGCUGGCGGCAUGCCUUACACAUGCAAGUCGAACGGUAACAGGUCUUCGGAUGCUGACGAGUGGCGAACGGGUGAGUAAUACAUCGGAACGUGCCCGAUCGUGGGGGAUAACGCAGCGAAAGCUGUGCUAAUACCGCAUACGAUCUACGGAUGAAAGCGGGGGAUCGCAAGACCUCGCGCGGACGGAGCGGCCGAUGGCAGAUUAGGUAGUUGGUGAGGUAAAGGCUCAGCUAGCCGUCGAUCUGUAGCUGGUCUGAGAGGACGACCAGCCACACUGGGACUGAGACACGGCCCAGACUCCUACGGGAGGCAGCAGUGGGGAAAUUUGGACAAUGGGCGCAAGCCUGAUCCAGCCAUGCCGCGUGCAGGAUGAAGGCCUUCGGGUUGUAAACUGCUUUUGUACGGAACGAAAAGGCUAUUAUUAAUAAAAAGAGCUCAUGACGGUACCGUAAGAAUAAGCACCGGCUAACUACGUGCCAGCAGCCGCGGUAAUAC
Molecule: ribosomal RNA, 510 nt
Filed under: uncultured bacterium
Lineage: Bacteria
Description: bacterial SSU rRNA
Rfam family: Bacterial small subunit ribosomal RNA
Source: RNAcentral